Long non-coding RNA from Hypanus sabinus (Atlantic stingray), 2985 nucleotides. RefSeq lists it as uncharacterized. The record is from RefSeq and is a predicted model, not a curated record. The transcript is spliced from 3 exons. Lineage: Eukaryota; Metazoa; Chordata; Chondrichthyes; Myliobatiformes; Dasyatidae.
ACGGCUUCCGAUUGGUCGGUGGCUCGCUGUGCAUUCUGGGGAGUGUAGUCCAUGUGGCUCGCGUUCUCAGUUUUCGAAUGACUGCCGAUUAACUCGGUCCUCUCGGAAUGCAAGUUUCCUCUUCGGCUCAUCCUGAUGAACGGUCCCGGCCGGAAACGUCGACUGUACUCUUUUCUAUAGACGCUGCUGCACGGCCUGCUGAGUUCCUACAGUAUUUUGUGUGUGCUGAUUGGAUUUCCAGCAUCUGCAGGUUUUCCCUUUGUUUGUGGGAUCGUGUAGCGUGCUGGAUUGUCUGAGAUGCCCAGAAUGUGCAAACUGACUGAAAAAUGGAAGUAGAUCAAGCAGGUAGUUCCAAUGUACAGACAGGGGCUAAAGGCAUAGAUAAGGAUGAUAAGUUAAAUUUUUAUUACAGUGCAACAAGAUUCCAUCUGUAAAUUCAAUCUGGUGCAUUUAAUGAGGACUUUCAUUUUUAAGUUGUAGUGAGGAAAUAAUGCAUUUAUCAGUUACUAUGAUGUGAGUCUGUCCACAUUGUUUUCACCCUUUCCUUUCCUUCAUGUUUCUCUUCCCCAAGAACUGGGCAUGUAGAUGAUGACAAGAAAUAUCUCUUCACCAUGGUGAGAUUGCCCAGCAUGCAACCACUCAUACCCACCUCAGGUUCCUCAUAAAGCUCUUUAGGCAGUGCAAUAUGGCAGCAUGGCUUUGACUGCAGAUUAAACAUAGUGUGAAUCAUCAUUCACACUUUCAUUUCCCCUUAUGGCUCAAACAUAGUCAGUACAUCAAGCUGUCAGAAAAUGAAGGCUUGAUGAUUGGUUUCAAGAUUUGCAACCAGCGGUCACAAAACAGCAAGGCUUUAUCUAUCUGCUACAGAGCAGGGUUGACAUAUGUCCACAGGCAUGAAGAUAAAAGAAACUGCAGAUACUGGAAUCGGAAAACAAAACAACAACAUUCUGGAAGAGCUCAGCAGAGUCUAUAGAGGCAAAAGGCAAUUAUUGUUCUCCUAAUAUCCAAAGUGGUUGCCUCUGUAGAUACACAAGGACACAUCUGCCUUCUCAAUUCUUCUGUGUUUUGGCAUUUCAGGACAGAGCCCUGCAUUAGGAUCACUGUCCUUUUCGUGCUUGAUCUCCCAGCAGCUUGACUUCUACUGUAGGCCCUGUGUUCAUUUGCUCAUUUAUGCUUUAUUGCAAGGGAUAUGGCUACUAUGUACUCAUGUCAGAAAGCAAACGUUUGCACAGAAGCUUCUAAGUUAAGAACUUAAUCACCACUCCCUGCAGAUUGGUGCAUCAUGAAAUAAGCAUAGUAGUUACCAAACAUUUAAUGGGUUAGCUAAUGAAACCAAACAGAAACUAAUUUCAAAUUUAAGUUUAAUCGCCAUUCACCCAUACAUGAACACCCAUGAAUGCAGCCAAACAAAACAGCAUUACUCUGCAGCCAAAGUGCAAAACGCAGUACUAACAGUCACACACAGCAUAAGGCACGUAUAGCUUAUAUAAGAUAUCAUUAAAAUACAGUCACAUAAAAAAUAUAGUCUAAGACUUAAAAUCUAUCAUGAAUGUUGCAGGAGUCUGCAGUCAAACACAACACAGCUUGUCUUCUACUGAGUGAACACUAUGGGGCAGCACUGACUCCAGCUUGGACGAUGUAUCAUGCCACCUCUGGUGGAGCACACUGAUUCCAAUGCCUCUCUCCUGGGCAACUUUAAGUAGGCGAAUCCGCGGCUUGAGGCCUAGUCCUCAAGAUGACUGAGGUCAAACAGCUCCUCCACCAGCUGCCAAAAAAUCGGUGAAUCGGAUUUACAGCAUUCUGCAUUAACAAUGUCCAAUAGGGUCAACUAGUCGGAACAUGGUCAAUAAUUUCUUCAAUGUGUGGAUAGCAGAGUGAAGUGAGAUUAAGUGUAAUGGUAUGAUGGCAGGAGCAUGAAACUACAUUUCUGCAAUCUUGACACUGCCCACCCUUCUCAGCAGACAUGUAGUUUCACUGAUGUCAAACACAAUUCAGUUCAGGGACUUAAGCAGCUAAUUUUGCAUUUUGAGGUCUUAAAGGUUAUCAGUUGAAAUGCAUCAAGGAAUAUUGCUUGAUGGAAGGAAAAUGCAAAAUAAAGGAAGGAAAAUAAACAAAUUGAGAGACUUAGAACUGGCUAGAUUCAACCCGACAUCUAAAAUCAAGAAUAUUUCCUAAUACCAAUAAAAAAUGCCUUCUAAUUGCUAAGUAAAGAACCUUAUGCUGUAGGAUUUUGUGAAUAAAACAUGCAAGAGUCAUUUUAUGUGCUGAAGUAAAACCACAGCCCAUUGCAAACAAAAUAAAUGCAGUUGCCUUAUAUGGGCGCCUGUAUGUCAGACACUGUUUCUUAAAAGUGAGCACAUGUUUGUGACUUAUGUAGAGCAGCUUCUGUUAUGAACAAUAUGUGUCAUCUAUUACAUUACCCUACAAUGUAAUUUGCAGAUGCAGAACUUGACAGUUAUAAAGAGUUUUCAUCAAUAUGCUGAGCAGUGGUGAAAUAUUUGCAUAUUUCAUUUCAGAUCUUAGAUGUGGGUGCCUGUUCUAUACAAGCAAAACGGUUUUAAUCCUAAGUAACUUCUAAAAUGUAACUUUGCAGCUUUGGUUUUGUGAUUGUCAUUUUGCAAUGACCUUAUCACUACCUUGUGCAAUUUGUAAACAAAAAUCAUAAACUUUGCCAAAACUUUGCCUCGCAAAAAUAUUCAUAAGUAAGCGCAUUCUCCAUUUUGAACAGAAAUUAACAAAGGUGGCUAAAGCCAACAGAAGCAAAAAAAAACUAUUCCAGAUAACAGUCUGUCUAACGAGUUCAAGAAGGCGUCAUUGUUAUCGGCACACUUGGGAGCUGCUCUUUCUUUUAGUUAGAUCAUUUUACUGCCUGAAUACAGCAAUGAACAGGUUACUGAAUUACUGAAAAGUUGUUAAUGAAAACAUCCAUUGUAUAAUCUGUUUUAUAGAUAGUCAUAAUUGUUAAAAAGUUUCAAUACUUCAGUC